Molecule: non-coding RNA, 30 nt
Filed under: Homo sapiens (human)
Lineage: Eukaryota; Metazoa; Chordata; Mammalia; Primates; Hominidae
Source: RNAcentral
UCCUGUGACUCAAUGAAACGUGUGUGCUUC